This 72-nucleotide transfer RNA is filed under the name Bartonella ancashensis. RNAcentral describes it as "tRNA-Val". It matches the Rfam family "tRNA". Rfam says of the family: Transfer RNA (tRNA) molecules are approximately 80 nucleotides in length. Their secondary structure includes four short double-helical elements and three loops (D, anti-codon, and T loops). The record is from RNAcentral. Lineage: Bacteria; Pseudomonadati; Pseudomonadota; Alphaproteobacteria; Hyphomicrobiales; Bartonellaceae.
GGGCAUGUAGCUCAGCGGGAGAGCACUACGUUGACAUCGUAGGGGUCACAGGUUCGAUCCCUGUCAUGCCCA